Molecule: transfer RNA, 59 nt
Filed under: Dialister sp.
Lineage: Bacteria; Bacillati; Bacillota; Negativicutes; Veillonellales; Veillonellaceae
Description: tRNA-Leu
Rfam family: tRNA
About the family: Transfer RNA (tRNA) molecules are approximately 80 nucleotides in length. Their secondary structure includes four short double-helical elements and three loops (D, anti-codon, and T loops). Further hydrogen bonds mediate the characteristic L-shaped molecular structure. tRNAs have two regions of fundamental functional importance: the anti-codon, which is responsible for specific mRNA codon recognition, and the 3' end, to which the tRNAs corresponding amino acid is attached (by aminoacyl-tRNA synthetases). tRNAs cope with the degeneracy of the genetic code in two manners: having more than one tRNA (with a specific anti-codon) for a particular amino acid; and 'wobble' base-pairing, i.e. permitting non-standard base-pairing at the 3rd anti-codon position.
Source: RNAcentral
GGUAGCUCGUCGGGCUCAUAACCCGAAGGCCGCAGGUUCAAGUCCUGCCCCCGCAACCA